AGGAAAAGAAACCAACAGGGAUUGCCUCAGUAACGGCGAGUGAAGCGGCAAAAGCUCAAAUUUGAAAUCCUUCGGGAGUUGUAAUUUGUAGGUUGGGAGACCCCGCGGCUAGUGGCACCAAGUCCCUUGGAACAGGGCGCCUUAGAGGGUGAGAGCCCCGUAGGUACCACAAUACCGUCUUGUGUCUCCUCUCCAAAGAGUCGAGUUGUUUGGGAAUGCAGCUCAAAGUGGGUGGUAAAUUCCAUCUAAAGCUAAAUACCGGCGAGAGACCGAUAGCGAACAAGUACAGUGAUGGAAAGAUGAAAAGCACUUUGAAAAGAGAGUGAAACAGUACGUGAAAUUGUUGAAAGGGAAGGGCUUGCAAGCAGACACGGCCUUCGUGCCGGGCCAGCAUCGGUUGCUAGGGGUGGAUAAGGAACAAGGAAUGUAGCUCCUCGGAGUAUUAUAGCCUUGCGCGAUACACCCACUGGCGACCGAGGCCUGCGGUAUUCUUUACCUAGGAUGCUGGCGUAAUGGUUGCAAGCCGCCCGUCU
RNAcentral lists this ribosomal RNA (533 nucleotides) under Sungouiella intermedia. Its description in RNAcentral is "[Candida] intermedia partial large subunit ribosomal RNA". It matches the Rfam family "Eukaryotic large subunit ribosomal RNA", at positions 54 to 654 of the family's 3401-position model. The record is from RNAcentral. Lineage: Eukaryota; Fungi; Ascomycota; Pichiomycetes; Serinales; Metschnikowiaceae.